GAUCCAUAGAGUCUUGAGGGAUUUGUACAUGUCUCUUUCUUGUUUCAUACCUUUUGUGUCAGCACAUGUGAUGAAAUGGAACUUUGCAUCUAUUCAGCCACCUUGAACAAAAAUUCAUUCCGUCAAAAACCACCAAUGUAUGUCCAUGUGAGAGGGAGACUGUGAAUUGAUGUAUUAGAGGGAACUGAGAGUGGAUGUUAUUAUUUGUCCUCAUCGUCCAAAUCACAAAUAAUUUUUUUUCUCUUUGUUAGUUUCUUGAACGUAGACAUGCAUGUAAGCAUUUGAAUGCUUGGUAUAAGUCUUAAUAGGAGUAGUAUUGAGUCUAUAUUUGAACGUUUGGUAGACAUAAUAGUGUCCUCUAUGAACUCCACCACUAUGAACUCAGUAUACAUAUGCGUUGAAGAGAAGCUACAAAUAUUACUACAAAGAUCCACUGUUGGGAAAAAAACCUGAAAAACAAUAAGUGUGCAGUUAACUGGCUAUGUAAAAAUCUGAUUAUUGUCAUAAAAUAUUUAAGAAAUACCAUACUUUCACCGUGUCUACUCCAUCGUUAUAAUUUGCAAGUGGAAAACAUAAACAAUGGAAAACAUAAACAAUAUGCGGAGUAUAGAGCUUAUCUAAAAUAAGAUGAACACAACAUGAAUAUUGGAAAUAUGUAAAUUCUCGCAUAGUUUUUAUUAUUACGUAAGAUUUUUUUUUUGUUUUUUGAGUGACAAAAGAAAACAAUAUAUGCAAAUGGAGUGCUUAUGGAUCUAUUAUUUGUGAAGAGUAUAGGGGUUACACACUUCUAACUGUAUAUGGAGAAAGAUAUUUUCCAUCAUCUCUAUCAAAAUCCAUUUGAAGUACUUAAAUAAAUCCAUUAGAAUGCAAAGUGUCUAUUAGCCUCAUCUGCAGCAUGUUACACACUGUUGCCGUGGCCAUGCCCUUACAAGAUGCUUAUCAACACACCCUUCCCAUCAAGCACCCCAAGCACGAGCUCUAGAGUCUUUGGUGUCACCGUUGACGGCCUUCUACUCGAAUUCCUCAAGCAUGCGGUCCUUCACUGGUGCGUUAGCCCAAACAACGUCUACGUCCUCGACAGGUCAGGCCCACACGGUGACGUCGACGCCGAACACCUCCUUAUGCUUCCGUGGUGUCCUCAAUGCCGACACAUCCGUACGUGUUCUCCAAAGAGGCAGCACCCAUACUCUAUGAUGAACCAAUGGAACUCAUCGUCGCUCCGCGAAAUCCACUCGCUGAUGUGUACUACUGUGCAUGGUUUGUCUUCAGCGAAGCAAUGGGCGGCAGGUGUGGGUGCCGCUGGGCGUUGGGACGGUGGUGUGGAGCCGGGAAGGAUAUUGUCUCGCGUGAGCAGAGCGGGGAGGACCGGGUAGCUGUGAGAUCCAACAACAUCAUGUCUCGUGUCCUCCCGAUGUCCCGACCAUAGCAGCUAGGUUCCUGUUUCCAGAAGGGAACAAGAAUGGGAACUUAGGGUAUUAUUCUAUAACAUGAAAAUAGAAACAUUCAUAUUUCUAGAAUAUAGAUAUUUGGAAUGUGGAACAUGGAAACGGGAGCGUGGAUCAUGUUCUCAUACCUUGGAUGCAGAGCCACGAAGGACAAUGCCACCCCAUCUCGCUAACGCGAGUCAGGGCGUCCAAACAGUUGAACCAAAUAGCUAAAAUUGAAUGCAGACCCUCUUCAUCAUGUCUCCAUAUACCUUGGACAGAAGCCACAUGUCCCACAAAACCUAUCACACGGUUAUGUGAUGUACCGUCUCCAUCCCAAAUUAUAAGUCAUCCAAGAACUUUGAAGAGCUAAAUCAUUUUAAGUUUGACUAAAUUUAUAUGAUAGGAUAAUAACAUUUAUUUCAUCACAACUAAAGAGUAAAGAGUGUAUAAUUUUUGGUGCGACAAUCGUCGGAUCGCCCGUCUGCCUGCCCCUGUGACCUCGCGGCCUCCCCUCCCCUCCUCCCUCGCCCGUGUGAACGCUCCCUUCGGCAAACUCUGCCCCAUCCAUCGUGAAUCGAGCCGGCGCUGCUCUUCCCUAGGCCCCGACCCGUUCCCGCACGCGGCCGCCAGUGCUCCAUCCCCAAAGCGCUUCGCUCGCCGGUGCUCGUCUAAGGUAUAUUAAGAGGUAAUAUGAGAAUAAGAUAAAGUUUGCCUAAUUUCUAUUUUUAUUAUUAAAUAAAUAUGUCUCCAAGCUAUAUAUUAUUGUAAAUAUUAACUAUCUAAUACCAUAGAUGUCAUGGUUAUCAAUAAAAUAAAUUAUAGACUUUAAAUUUUCUAGAUGUCAUGGAUAUCAAUAAAAUAAAUUAUGGACUUUAAAUUUUAUAAAAAGGAUAAAUAUAAAUAGAUAUGUAACAUUAUGUUAUCACUUUCUAUGAUCAUUUGAUGUUUUUCUCCCGUUGCAACGCACGACAUAUUUGCUAGUAGAAUAAGAAACAGCCGAAACUAAUUUGACAUGGACACAUGAUAAAGGAAUAUAGAUUAGGCUGGACGAAACUAAAAGAAACGGUAAAAAUUUUAAGGUAUAGAUUUUGUCUUUGAUUUUUGAUAGAGUUUGAUUUGAAGAAGUCUAAUUUGAGAGAGGAUUUUUUUCUUCUUUUUUGUCUCGCGUCCAUCUCUCCAUCCUAAGUAGCCAGACAAAAAAAAACUCCAGACCAAAAAAGAGCUUAAAAUUUGCUUCUGCGUGCCAUGGCUGGGUGGCAUCUUGUUUGCGAUGAAAACGGUACGGAUAUUUUUCGACUGUAUUCGAGACCGAAUAUGCAUUGACCAUGUUUUGGUUGCAGUGGAACCAAUCCAAAGGGAUUGAGCCAAGGGUUAGUGUGCAGCAAGACCGACCAUGUAUGGCCAUCGCGAGUCCUCCUAUCCGCAGGCAUGCAAGAUCUCGUGCUGAUGGUGUCGUGAGGACGUAGCGUCGCAGCGGUCGCACUCGCCUCCGCAGGGAUCCGUUCCACGACUCUAGAGUAGUGGUUUGAUUCCUGACAUGGUGCAACUGUAUUUUCUAUGCAAGGGUGCGGCCGUACAGUGAAACAGAACCAUUGUACAGAUUUCGUAGGCUAACUAAACACGUAUUCGGAAUAAAUCUAGGCCAGGAUUGAUCCACAACCGAACGAGGCCUUAGAGGGGUUCAUAUCUGUCCGUAUCUGAGUUCGAAUAUUCAACAUCUGAUACAUAUCUGAAUACUUAGAUCGUAUAUUUAUGAUAUCGACAUCCAAUCGUAUCUUAUUCGACAUAAUUAACAUUACCGUAUUCGAAUCCGAAUCCGACCAGAAAUAUGAAAACAAAUAUGAUACCAGUGAUUUCCGUUCGUAUUCAAUCCAUUUUCAUCCCUAUUUGCGACUGACUCAACCAAAGCCUGAUCUUAGAAAUUGCCUUUGUGCUUAGCGGGAGACCCAGGUACGAUCGAGAAGUUCUGCACCUUGCAGUCGAGAAUGGAUAUGAAAUCUAGCAGUGCUUCCUCGCCUCAAAGAUAUAUAGGUGUCACCGAACACUUAGCUAGGUUUGUGUGCAGUCCAGAUGAUUGACCGAAGAUGCUCAGGUUUUUCUUUACUGCAGUUGCCUCCUGGGUAGUUGGUCGAUGGAGAGUGUUGGGGGAUCCUCCGAUCGCUGAGCUGUCUGAUUCUGGAACGCUGCCUUGCCUCCACUGCACUGAGUUGCCGGUGUUCCUGGGCGACGUCCAAGCGUAGCACCAGUUCUUGUGCCACGAGGAGUUGGGCUUUAAUGUCGCCAAUUCUCGCAGCAGACCAGCUUUGGACAAGGUGGCGUAGCAUGAAGUCCAGCCGCAUAAGGGGAUCCAUUUGCAACACCCGGCGAGCCCAUCCUUGCUGGACUGAGUCAUCGUAGUCGUCGAAGCUAGGCCAAGACAACUCGAAGUGGAAUCUUGUGAUCCGAGGCAUCAGAACCUAGACCGGGGAACUGACGAGCACCCUGUCUAAGCUGACGAGCGUAGGGUGUUCCCAUUUGUUGCUCCAAGUGAAGCAUCGGCCGUGUGCAGGUGAAGGUCUUGGAGUUCCAGAGUGCAUGGUCACCGUGCGCCUGAACCUCCUGAGGUUCAGCCCUGUUUAUACGUACACCCAUUGUUCUUGUCCGCCUCAUUCAAGAUUAGAUUGAAGUCGCCGUUAAUUGCCCAAGAUCCCUCGCAGGCGUCCCGGAUGGCCUCCAUUGCUGUCGUGUGGAAUGUGAUGUUGUAAAUAAAGCACUUUUUUCCUUUUGCUUUCAAGAUGUGAUGAACUAAUAACUAAAAGAUUUUUUUAUUUUUGAACACUGGUAUGAUUCCUACAAAGAUAGAAAAUAAAUUUCAAAUGACAACCAAACAAUAAGAUGUGGACUUAGAACUUAGAACUUCCGGUCUCGGAUAUCAGAUGAGAUCCAACAAAUAUCAGGUCGUAAUAAAAGGUACGGUGUAAAAUUAGGUAGAGUGUAUCGUUUGAAGGUAAUAUUUUGAUGCAUUGAUCAUGAAAUGCUCAUGAUGAAUAGUGCAAUUUAGCAUCAGAUUUUUCAUGAGCAGUUGUGUGGUCCUCAGUGUACUAAAUCGUUUGUCUUCAUGAACAUGACAUGAGGCAAAUAUUUAAUUAAGAGCAUCACUAUGUUUCAUGAAAAUGGUAUGCAUCCACCUUACUAAUAGUGAACCUAAUCGGCCAAAUUAUUCAUGAGUUAUGCAAUUCAUAAUGUAAAAACUCUAUUUCACUUUUGGGCUCGAGCUCCUUAUAUAGAUCCAUAGAGUCUCCAGGGAUUUGUACAUGUCUCUUUCUUGUUUCAUACCUUUUGUGUCAGCACAUGUGACGAAAUGGAACUUUGCAUCUAUUCAGCCACCUUGAACAAAAAUUCAUUCCGUCAAAAACCACCAAUGUAUGUUCAUGUGAGAGGGAGACUGUGAAUUGAUGUAUUAGAGGGAACUGAGAGUGGAUGUUAUUAUUUGUCUUCAUCGUCCAAAUCACAAAUAAUUUUUUCUCUUUGUUAGUUUCUUGAACGUAGACAUGCAUGUAAGCAUUUGAAUGCUUGGUACAAGUCUUAAUAGGAGUAGUAUUGAGUCUAUAUUUGAAUGUUUGGUAGACAUAAUAGUGUCCUCUAUGAACUCCACCACUAUGAACUCAGUAUACGUAUGCGUUGAAGAGAAGCUACAAAUAUUACUACAAAGAUCCACUGUUGGGAAAAAAACCUGAAAAACAAUAAGUGUGCAGUUAACUGGCUAUGUAAAAAUCUGAUUAUUGUCAUAAAAUAUUUAAGAAAUACCAUACUUUCACCGUGUCUACUCCAUCGUUAUAAUUUGCAAGUGGAAAACAUAAACAAUAUGCGGAGUAUAGAGCUUAUCUAAAAUAAGAUGAACACAACAUGAAUAUUGGAAAUAUGUAAAUUCUCACAUAGUUUUUAUUAUUACGUAAGAUUUUUUUUUGUUUUUUGAGUGACAAAAGAAGACAAUAUAUGCAAAUGGAGUGCUUAUGGAUCUAUUAUUUGUGAAGAGUAUAGGGAUUACACACUUCUAACUUUAUAUGGAGAAAGAUAUUUUCCAUCAUCUCUAUCAAAAUCCAUUUGAAGUACGUAAAUAAAUUCACUGGAAUGCAAAGUGUCUAUUAGCCUCAUCUGCAGCAUGUUACACACUGUUGCCGUGGCCAUGCCCUUACAAGAUCCUCAUCAACACACCCUUUCCAUCAAGCACCCCAAGCACGAGCUCUAGAGUCUAUGGUGUCACCAUUGACGGCCUUCUACUCGAAUUCCUCAAGCAUG
RNAcentral lists this long non-coding RNA (5705 nucleotides) under Sorghum bicolor (sorghum). RNAcentral describes it as "long non-coding RNA (SBIC_LNC018240)". Lineage: Eukaryota; Viridiplantae; Streptophyta; Magnoliopsida; Poales; Poaceae. The record is from RNAcentral.